UACGUAGGGGGCAAGCGUUAUCCGGAUUUACUGGGUGUAAAGGGGGCGCAGGCGGUUUGGCAAGUCUGAAGUGAAAGCCCGUGGCUCAACUGCGGGACUGCUUUGGAAACUGUCAAACUAGAGUAUCGGAGAGGCAAGUGGAAUUCCUGGUGUAGCGGUGAAAUGCGUAGAUAUCAGGAGGAACACCGGUGGCGAAGGCGGCUUGCUGGACGAUAACUGACGCUGAGGCCCGAAAGCGUGGGGAGCAAAC
This 250-nucleotide ribosomal RNA is filed under the name uncultured prokaryote. Its description in RNAcentral is "partial 16S ribosomal RNA". It matches the Rfam family "Bacterial small subunit ribosomal RNA", at positions 524 to 773 of the family's 1533-position model. The record is from RNAcentral.